Long non-coding RNA from Magallana angulata, 1825 nucleotides. RefSeq lists it as uncharacterized. NCBI's taxonomy places the organism in Eukaryota, Metazoa, Mollusca, Bivalvia, Ostreida, Ostreidae. The record is from RefSeq and is a predicted model, not a curated record. The transcript is spliced from 5 exons.
AAUUCUGACUGAUUAAUUAUUAAUAUUAUUAGUCCCCUACAGGUUUUCACCGGAGGGGACUAUAGCUUUCCUCUGCGUCCGACAGUCCGUCCGUCUAUCUGUCUGUCCCACUUCAGUUUUCCAUACUUUUUUUCUUUAUGUGUUUGAGGAAUAAUAUGAAAUUUGCUGAACAGCUUCAAAAUGUCAAACUACAGAUCAAGAUUACACUUUUGUAGCGUCUGGUUGACAUAUUUUCGAGAAUUUUUUAAUGUUCGGGUUCGAUAUUCUUCAUAACAGUGCAUUGUUUUCACAUUUUCCACAAACCGGUAGGGGACGUGUAUUGCUUAUGCAAUACUCUCAGAAUGCUUGUUUCCUGUGUAUUAAUUCGCUUCUUGUGUUUAAUGAUUAGCAGCGUUCACGACCGCUGGUAGACUGCAAGCCCCGGAGGCUUCUACACCUCUAGAAAUUAAGCCCCGCCCUCACCUGAGAUUUACCACGCGGUAAAAAUGUGCAGCCUUUAAGGACAGUCAAAUGUGUGGAAAACAGUAAACAAACAAAAUAAUGGAUGUGCUUUAGCAUAUUGAAAACCAUGUCAAGAAAAGAUCGAAAAAGAGUUAAUCCCAUUGAAGAGUCAAGGAAAUGGAGUGAAAAGAAUAUUGAUCCACCAGGAUUUAAUAUAAGUUUAUUUGAGAACAAAGGCAGAGGAGUCAGAACAACUGUCCGCAGAAAUGCAGGCGACUUUUUGUUAGUGUAUACAGGAAAGGUUAUAACAAAGAAGGAAGGUGAGAACUUGGAAGAAGGGUUCUCAUCUGGCUACAGAUUUUGUUUACAGAGAUUUGUGUGUUGAUGCAUCAGAAGAAGAUGGUAGAUUGGGAAGGCUUGUGAACCAUGGGAGCAAGAAAGAGAUCAACUGCAAAAUGAAAUUAAUAGGGGAAGUGCUAUGUCUUUUUGGAACCAGGUUUUAAAAGAAUAAGUGGAAAAAGAAAACCUAAUGAACAGCAGCUGAGAAAGCAGCAGUUAAGAGGCAAAUGGGCCAGUUUUUAAAUCUAAGGACCCUGCCAAAAAACAUGACUGUGACCUGGCUCUUCAAAAAGAAGAGAGUUUGAAAUAUUGAACCUGGAAACAAGUCAAAGACUUUGUUAGAAAUACAAACUUGAAGCUACUUAAACAGUAGGAUUCAAAAAUGAAAUGUAUGAAGUUUUUAGUGUAAAUUGACUUGUUUCUAUAAUGAAAAGAAAUUUUAUAAUAUUCAGAACUAGAGACAGAUCAGAAAUGUAGUAUAUGUGCAUUGAUUUACUUGUUAGUUUUCUAGAGAGAGAGACAGAGGAGCUUUUGCUUUUGCUUUAAAAGUAAUUUUUAGUAUCUUUAUAAUGAUUUUGAAUAUUCAUUGUAAUAGUGGUUGUCUUAUGAAGAAAUUUUUAUGACAAGUAAAAUAAGGCUGUAAGUUCAGCUGUUAGCCUUCAUGAUACACAUAAACCUGAUAAAAGCCUUUUUAUAGUGACAGACUUGGUGUCUCAUGUAUAUCAUGUUGGACUGCCUAGUGACAUGAAUGCUAAAAAAUUGAUGAAAAUAAUGCCAGAUCUUAGCUGUUAUAUACAUGUAUUUAAUGAUCUUUCCAUAUGAAAUAUUUACUACAUAUAUGUACAAUAUCCUUAAGGAUUUAACCAUUUCAUGCUCUGUUUUGCAUGUACAUGAAGUUAAAAUGAAGGUGAAUUUGGAAUGAUAAAGAUCUACAGCAAGAGCGUAGUUGGCUAAGCUAUUGUUAAUUACGGUAAAUGAAUUCAGUCAAUGUUAUCUAUUUUAUAUUAAGAAUGAAUUUGCUAUGCUUAGUGUUCAAUUAGCUCUU